GCUUUUGUGGUGCAGUUGGUUAACACGUCCGCCUCACACGCGGAAGAUCCCCAGUUCGAGCCUGGGCAGAAGUA
Non-coding RNA from Baffinella frigidus, 74 nucleotides. The record is from the annotation of a GenBank genome assembly. NCBI's taxonomy places the organism in Eukaryota, Cryptophyceae, Cryptomonadales, Baffinellaceae.